CCUACGGGGAGCAGCAGUGAGGAAUAUUGGUCAAUGGGCGAGAGCCUGAACCAGCCAAGUCGCGUGAAGGAUGAAGGAUCUAUGGUUUGUAAACUUCUUUUAUAUGGGAGUAAAGUGCGGAACGUGUUCCUUUUUGUAUGUCUCAUAUGAAUAAGCAUCGGCUAACUCUGUGCCAGCAGCCGCGGUAAUACGGAGGAUGCGAGCGUUAUCCGGAUUUAUUGGGUUUAAAGGGUGCGUAGGUGGUUAAUUAAGUCAGCGGUGAAAGUUUGUGGCUCAACCAUAAAAUUGCCGUUGAAACUGGUUGUCUUGAGUAUAUGUGAGGUAGGCGGAAUGCGUGGUGUAGCGGUGAAAUGCAUAGAUAUCACGCAGAACUCCGAUUGCGAAGGCAGCUUACUAAACUAUAACUGACACUGAAGCACGAAAGCGUGGGGAUCAAACAGGAUUAGAUACCCGAGUAGUC
This 460-nucleotide ribosomal RNA is filed under the name uncultured bacterium. Its description in RNAcentral is "partial 16S ribosomal RNA". It matches the Rfam family "Bacterial small subunit ribosomal RNA", at positions 338 to 795 of the family's 1533-position model. The record is from RNAcentral.